Molecule: ribosomal RNA, 118 nt
Filed under: Anolis carolinensis (green anole)
Lineage: Eukaryota; Metazoa; Chordata; Lepidosauria; Squamata; Anolidae
Source: RNAcentral
GACUAGGGCAUAAUUACUCUAAAGGCACCAGAUCCACCUGGUCUUGGGAGCUAAGCAGGAUCAGCCCUGCUUAGUACUUAGAUGAGAUAUCACCAAUGAAUAACAGGUGCUGUGGACU